RNAcentral lists this unclassified non-coding RNA (348 nucleotides) under soil metagenome. RNAcentral's name for it is "partial contains 5.8S ribosomal RNA, internal transcribed spacer 2, and large subunit ribosomal RNA". The stretch from base 1 to 120 matches the Rfam family "5.8S ribosomal RNA", at positions 35 to 154 of the family's 154-position model. The record is from RNAcentral.
GAUGAAGAACGCAGCAAAAUGCGAUAAGUAAUGUGAAUUGCAGAAUUCAGUGAAUCAUCGAGUCUUUGAACGCACAUUGCGCCCCCUGGUAUUCCGGGGGGCAUGCCUGUCCGAGCGUCAUUGCUGCCCUCAAGCACGGCUUGUGUGUUGGGCCGCCGUCCCCGGUUUCCCCCGGGGACGGGCCCGAAAGGCAGCGGCGGCACCGCGUCCGAUCCUCGAGCGUAUGGGGCUUUGUCACCCGCUCUGUAGGCCCGGCCGGCGCCAGCCGACACCCAACUUUAUUUCUAAGGUUGACCUCGGAUCAGGUAGGGAUACCCGCUGAACUUAAGCAUAUCAAUAAGCGGAGGA